UUGACCUCGAAUCAGGUAGGGAUACCCGCUGAACUU
RNAcentral lists this ribosomal RNA (36 nucleotides) under Phyllactinia taurica. Its description in RNAcentral is "Leveillula taurica partial 28S ribosomal RNA". Lineage: Eukaryota; Fungi; Ascomycota; Leotiomycetes; Helotiales; Erysiphaceae. The record is from RNAcentral.